Molecule: unclassified non-coding RNA, 20 nt
Filed under: Mus musculus (house mouse)
Lineage: Eukaryota; Metazoa; Chordata; Mammalia; Rodentia; Muridae
Description: oocyte_clustered_small_RNA2227
Source: RNAcentral
UAGCAGGAGGAACAAACACG